GCCGGGUGCGGUGGCUCACGCCUGUAAUCCCAGCACUUUAGGAGGCCGAGGCAGGUGGAUCACCUGAGGUCAGGAGUUCGAGACCAGCCUGACCAACAUGGUGAAACCCUGUCUCUA
This 117-nucleotide small RNA is filed under the name Pongo abelii (Sumatran orangutan). Its description in RNAcentral is "Metazoan signal recognition particle RNA (ENSPPYG00000036035.1)". The record is from Rfam by way of RNAcentral. Lineage: Eukaryota; Metazoa; Chordata; Mammalia; Primates; Hominidae.